Molecule: ribosomal RNA, 426 nt
Filed under: uncultured bacterium
Lineage: Bacteria
Description: partial 16S ribosomal RNA
Rfam family: Bacterial small subunit ribosomal RNA
Source: RNAcentral
GUGAGGAAUUUUCCGCAAUGGGCGAAAGCAUGACGGAGCAAUGCCGCGUGAAGGAUGACGGCCUAUGGGUUGUAAACUUCUUUUCUCAGAAAAGAAUUAUGACGGUAUCUGAGGAAUAAGCAUCGGCUAACUCUGUGCCAGCAGCCGCGGUAAGCCAGAGGCUGCAAGAGUUAUCCGGCAUGAUUGGGCGUAAAGCGUCUGUAGGUUGGUUAAAAAGUAUUCUGUCAAAGAUUAGGGCUUAACCCUAGAUAGGCAGAAUAAACUUUUAAGCUAGAGUUUGGUAGAGGCAGAGGGAAUUCCCGGUGGAGCGGUGAAAUGCGUAGAUAUCGGGAGGAACACCAAAAGCGAAGUCACUCUGCUGGGCCAAUACUAACACUGAGGGACGAAAGCGAGGGGAGCAAAUGGGAUUAGAUGCCCUGGUAGUCC